CCAGGAGCCCCACUCACCCAGACGUGGAACCCUGGCCGUGGCUCCCAGGGGCUACAGAGCGAGGAGCUUCCUGCCCUCCCCUUCCCUGAUCUUCUGAGGCAAUAAGCACCUUCUUCCUCAGGCUUCAGAACACGGUUUGCCCCGUUCUAGGUGUUGGUUCCUGACGCCUCUUCAGAGCUUUGAAGCCGGCAAACCUUUACAUUCGGGAUCUGGUGUGAUUUUUACAACUGUGUGAGACUUGUUCUAACAGUGACCAAGGUAUGUGAGUGUUUGGCUGAAGAGGAACCCGCCCACCCGCUCCCCCACUCCUGGCCCCCACCCUCGGUGUAACUUCACUGGCAUAAGGAACGCCAAACGAGGAAAGGUCCCCAGUCGAAGCAGAAAGAUUAGAGAGGGAUUUGAACCCAGCCCUGCGUUCUCUCCAACACUGAUCUCCAGCCUGCUUUGGAUUUGCCACCUCGACAUCCUGGAUCAAACUCAUUGGCUGGUUCUAGAAUCCGGAGCUCACUUUCAGCCAAUUAGGAAACAUCCGGAUUGUACUCCAUGCACAUCACCCUUUGAUCGCUGAUGCCCAGGUAUGUCUCUCCGCUGCCACUGCCUCCUCUUCCUCCUCCCACAAGGAAGGGAAAACCAACUCUCCCAUAGCUUCAGAAAGCACAAGGAUCCCUUAACACACCAGGUCACCAGUCAGGCGAUAAACAUUUAUUAAGUGCCUACUGUGUGCUAAGUACUUGGGAUACAAAGAAAGGCAAUUCCCUUCCCUUGACCUCUCCUGCCUUUCCUUCCCUGCUACAACAUACCCAGUGAGAGGCACAGAAACAAAAAAAACCAGCUUCCUGUCUGUUAAGGAGCGCAUAUUCUACUGGAGUUCAUGUGAUGCAUAAGAAUGGGCACAUUCUUGGCACACCUAUAGGCAUCAUUCUCACUGACAGGGAAAGCAUGUGCCCAGUAUCCUGCGGGAUCCUGAAGUGGUGGGAUGGGGGAAGGGGGAGGAACAAAGACAAAUUAUAUCUGAUGGUCAAAUAGACAUUUAAGGUUUGCACAGCACUUCACAUAUAUUAAUUUCCUCAUUUAACCACCUUAGAACAGCCCUGUGAGGCUCCUAUUAUCCUGUGAUAAUAGGUGAAGUGGCAUUAUCACCAUUUUGCAGAUGAGAAAACUGAGGCUGAGAAGGAGUAAGUGUUAAAUAUCAGGCUGGCCUGGGAACUCAGGAAUGGCCUGAAUUCCAAUCUUCCCUCAGAAUCUUAGCUGUGAAAACCCUGGGACAAAAGUCUCAACCUCAGUUUCUUCAUUUGCAAAACGGGAUCAGUUCCUCCUCCAAGGACUUACUCCAAAGGGCUAUUGUGAGGUUCAAGUGGAAUUGCAUAUGUAAGGUGCCUUGCCAAUGUUAAAGCAUUGUAUGGGUCAGAUAGUUAAACAUUGUAUGGGUCAGAUAGUUAAGUUAAGGCCUAUACUAUGUUGUUAGAUCGUACAUUACAUUGUAUAUUCUAUGUUAUGUUGUUACACAUUAUGUUCUAUUACAUAGUAUAUUAUAUUAUA
Molecule: long non-coding RNA, 1539 nt
Organism: Phascolarctos cinereus (koala)
Lineage: Eukaryota; Metazoa; Chordata; Mammalia; Diprotodontia; Phascolarctidae
Source: RefSeq, a predicted model, not a curated record